Molecule: microRNA precursor, 102 nt
Filed under: Marmota monax (woodchuck)
Lineage: Eukaryota; Metazoa; Chordata; Mammalia; Rodentia; Sciuridae
Source: RNAcentral
AGAGGAAUAGCUGGGUCAAUGGUGGUUCCAUUCCCAUAUUUCCAAGGAAUCUCCAUACUGCUUUCCAAAUUGACUGCACCAAUUUGGAGUCCCACCAGCAAU